CAGGAUGCCUAGUUAAAUUUGAAUUUCAGAUGAACAAUGAAAUUUUUUUUUUUUUGGUAUAAGUAUAUCCCAUGCAAUAUUUGGAACAUACUUAUGCUAAAAGUAUUCCUUGUGUACCUGAAAUUCAAUUUUAACUGGGCAUUUC
Molecule: microRNA precursor, 145 nt
Filed under: Mustela putorius furo (domestic ferret)
Lineage: Eukaryota; Metazoa; Chordata; Mammalia; Carnivora; Mustelidae
Description: miRNA (ENSMPUG00000021444.1)
Rfam family: mir-1302 microRNA precursor family (bases 51-102)
Source: RNAcentral